CCCAGGUCAGGCGGGGCUACCCGCUGA
This 27-nucleotide ribosomal RNA is filed under the name Silene longicilia. Its description in RNAcentral is "partial 26S ribosomal RNA". Lineage: Eukaryota; Viridiplantae; Streptophyta; Magnoliopsida; Caryophyllales; Caryophyllaceae. The record is from RNAcentral. RNAcentral also lists the same sequence under 1 other name.